RNAcentral lists this ribosomal RNA (239 nucleotides) under uncultured bacterium. RNAcentral describes it as "partial 16S ribosomal RNA". It matches the Rfam family "Bacterial small subunit ribosomal RNA", at positions 118 to 353 of the family's 1533-position model. The record is from RNAcentral.
UGGGUAACCUGCCUUAUAGUGGGGGAUAGCCUUUCGAAAGGAAGAUUAAUACCGCAUAUGAUUGUAGUAUCGCAUGAUAUAGCAAUUAAAGGAGCAAUUCGCUAUAAGAUGGACCCGCGUCGCAUUAGCUAGUUGGUGAGGUAAUGGCUCACCAAGGCGACGAUGCGUAGCCGACCUGAGAGGGUGAUCGGCCACAUUGGGACUGAGACACGGCCCAGACUCCUACGGGAGGCAGCAUG